UGCGUAGGCGGCCUAGUAAGUCAGAGGUGAAAGCCCACAGCUUAACUGUGGAAUUGCCUUUGAUACUGCUAAGCUUGAAUUAGGUUGAGGUUGGCGGAAUGUGACAUGUAGCGGUGAAAUGCAUAGAUAUGUCAUAGAACACCAAUUGCGAAGGCAGCUGGCUAGACCUUAAUUGACGCUGAGGCACGAAAGCGUGGGAGCGAACAGGAUUAGAUACCAUGGUAGUCC
This 228-nucleotide ribosomal RNA is filed under the name uncultured bacterium. RNAcentral describes it as "partial 16S ribosomal RNA". It matches the Rfam family "Bacterial small subunit ribosomal RNA", at positions 568 to 796 of the family's 1533-position model. The record is from RNAcentral.